Long non-coding RNA from Ziziphus jujuba (common jujube), 677 nucleotides. RefSeq lists it as uncharacterized. The transcript has 3 exons. NCBI's taxonomy places the organism in Eukaryota, Viridiplantae, Streptophyta, Magnoliopsida, Rosales, Rhamnaceae. The record is from RefSeq and is a predicted model, not a curated record.
UUUAUCCCCAAUGAAAGUAAAAAAUUACUCUACUUUCCUUUCUUCAUUCCUUCAGUCCGAGAAACCCAAAGUCUUUAGUUUCUGCACUUUGCUUUUUUUAUUUUUCUUCAUCCCCCAGAAAACCCACACACAAUCUCAUUAAGAAAAAAAAAAAAUCCAUGCUCCAUCUCCCUGCAUCUCUUACCUCUUCUCUUGCAAACAUAUGAAAGACUAAGGAAAAAUUACGUUUGAGGUGAGCGGUAGUUGUGCAGAGGAGCUUUACUUGGAAAGUUUGCAGCAUCAAAUAGAAAGUGAUCUUAUGCCAAGUGCCCGAUGUGACCAAAGUGAUUCUUAUGUGGCAAGGGAUUGGAAUGAGCUAGGGGUGACAAACUGUGGAAAUGAGACAAAACUCCUAAGUGGAUCAGUCUAUCGAGGCGGAUUGCCCAAGGAAUUAUAUGUGGUGAAAGAUGUAUUAACUGGAAUGAGAAAACAUGUUCAUCUGCUGGACAUAACAACUCUAUCACAACUCAGAAAAGAUGCACAUCCUGGCUUUUAUAAUGGCUUUAGGCGCAUGGACUGUAACCAUUGGUGUAUUGCUGGACUUCUAGAUACUUGGAAUCAAAUUUUUAUGCAUUUCUCAUAAUUGUUAUGCUUGUUCUAGUAUUUUUAGUUUAUAAAAAUGAUCAUACGGUUGCUUA